This 327-nucleotide long non-coding RNA is filed under the name Carica papaya (papaya). RNAcentral's name for it is "long non-coding RNA (CPAP_LNC003178)". The record is from RNAcentral. Lineage: Eukaryota; Viridiplantae; Streptophyta; Magnoliopsida; Brassicales; Caricaceae.
AUUGUACCAUGGUUUGGCCAGCUUAAAGUGGGCUUAAGCAAAUUGUCGUAUCAGUAUCUGAUAUGGUCAUUUACUUGGGUAGUUGAAAAUCUAUAUCUGCCCUCAUAGAUGGAAGUUUGUAACAGUGUCACAAAGGAUGACACGAAAAAUCUUUACAUUUCAUGAUUUAUUUGAUUUUCUCUCUUAUCUAUCAUAAUGUUUAGUUGAUUUUCCGUGCUAACAUAUCAUUUUCUUAAACAUAUAAAUUGUUUUCAUAAUGGUGAGAUAGGUAAACGAGGAAGUUAAACGAUAAGAUAAAAUAAUAAAUUUUUGAAAUUUUACGAUAUU